Molecule: ribosomal RNA, 478 nt
Filed under: Stylocellus sp. Borneo 14
Lineage: Eukaryota; Metazoa; Arthropoda; Arachnida; Opiliones; Stylocellidae
Description: partial 16S ribosomal RNA
Source: RNAcentral
UUCUUAAAGAAAUUAUUUUAAGUAUAUUCUGCUCAAUGAAUAUUAAAUAGCUGUGUGAACACUAAGGUAGCAUAAUAAAUUGUUUAUUAAUUGUAGACUUGAAUGAAAGAAUGAAUGAGGAAAAUCUUUCUUAAGUUAUUUUUUUAAACUUAAAUUGUUAGUAAAAAUGCUAAUAUGGUAUUUAGGGACGAGAAGACCCUAUGAAGCUUUAAUAUUAAUUACAUAAAUUUUAUUUUGUAGAAGAUAUUUUGUUGGGGCAAUACUCUAAGAUUAAAGUUUAGAGAUUAUAUGAAUAUAUUUAUAUAUUUAAUGAGCCAUAAUUUAUGAUUAUUAGAAUAAGUUACUUUAGGGAUAACAGCAUAAUUUUUAUUGGAAAGUACUAAUUGAUAAUAUAGAUUAUGACCUCGAUGUUGAAUUAAUAAUACUAUUAGGUGAAGGAAUUUUAUAAGUUAGUCUGUUCGACUAUUAAAUUAUUACA